GAACCAAGUUCUCUGAAGAAUGCUGCCGAUAUGGAACCGAGAACAGUGAUAACAUCAACGAAAAUAUUCUUGCCAAAGCUGCAGCUAUUUAUGGUGAUGGCCGUAAACAUGUAGAGAAGGAGCAAGAUGAUUAUAUUAUGCUGUAUCCCAACAAGUCAUGGAUCCCUUGAGAGCAAUGACCGUUGGUGCUCCUUUGGAAGAUGCUCGUCAUCUUGCUCAACGCUAGAGUCGAAUGAGGCAGGAAUCAGAGGCCCUGGCAGCAGAGAUUUCUAGAAGACAAGCACGAAUAAGAGAAGCUCCAAUAACAGAAAACGGCGCAAAGUUGCAUGCUGCUGAAGCGAAGAUGCAGGAACUUAAAGCAAAUAUGGCAGUUCUGGGUAAAGAAGCUUCUACUGCAUU
Molecule: long non-coding RNA, 399 nt
Organism: Hibiscus syriacus
Lineage: Eukaryota; Viridiplantae; Streptophyta; Magnoliopsida; Malvales; Malvaceae
Exons: 3
Source: RefSeq, a predicted model, not a curated record